Molecule: long non-coding RNA, 892 nt
Filed under: Homo sapiens (human)
Lineage: Eukaryota; Metazoa; Chordata; Mammalia; Primates; Hominidae
Description: HSALNT0095649
Source: RNAcentral
UUUGGUGUUUGUCAGAUAUAAUGCUCUUCAGGGGCUGUGGUGGCGCUGAUAGAACUGGAGUCUGGAGAACAUGAAACAAUAGCCAGGAGCCCCAGGAGCCUGCAGCAUGUUUUUUUUGUAGUAAUUACUAGCCUUUUCCAUGAUUCAAAACUAUGUGACUAAUUGUGCCUGGGACCUUAAAAGUCACUGGAUCAGUAGACAUGGGAAAAAGUUCAAUAUCAUUACUCUUCAAAGAAAUGAAACUUUUAAAAGUCAGGAAACAACAGAUGCUGGAGAGGAUGUGGAGAAAUAGGAACGAUUUUACACUGUUGGUGGGAGUGUAAAUUAGUUCAACCAUUGUGGAAGACAGUGUGGCAAUUCUUCAAGGAUCCAGAGCUAGAAAUACCAUCUGACCCAGCAAUCCCAUUACUGGGUAUAUACCCAAAGGAUUAUAAAUCAUUCUACUGUAAAGACACAUGCACACGUAUGUUUAUUGCAGCACUGUUCACAAUAGCAAAGACUUGGAACCAACCCAAAUGCCCAUGAAUGUUAGACUGGAUAAAAAAAAAAAUGUGGCACAUAUACACCAUGGAAUACUAUGAAGCCAUAAAAAAGAAUAAGUUCAUGUCCUUUGCAGGGACAUGGAUGAAGCUGGAAACCAUUCUCAGCAAACUAAGAGAAGGAACAGAAAACCAAACACUGCAUGUUCUCACUCGUAAGUGGGAGUUGAACAGUGAGAACAUAUGGGCACAGGGAGGGGCACAGCAUACACCGGGACCUAACAGGGGGUAGGGGGAAGAGGAGGAUAACCUUGGGAGAAAUACCUAAUGUAGAUGACGGGUUGAUGGGUGCAGCAAACGACCAUGGCACAUGUAUACCUAUGUAACCAGCACAUUCUGCACGUGUAUCCCAG